AGUGAACGCUGGCGGUAGGCCUAACACAUGCAAGUCGAACGGCAGCACAGUAAGAGCUUGCUCUUACGGGUAGCGAGUGGCGGACGGGUGAGGAAUACAUCGGAAUCUACUUUUUCGUGGGGGAUAACGUAGGGAAACUUACGCUAAUACCGCAUACGACCUACGGGUGAAAGCAGGGGAUCUUCGGACCUUGCGCGAUUGAAUGAGCCGAUGUCGGAUUAGCUAGUUGGCGGGGUAAAGGCCCACCAAGGCGACGAUCCGUAGCUGGUCUGAGAGGAUGAUCGGCCACACUGGAACUGAGACACGGUCCAGACUCCUACGGGAGGCAGCAGUUGGGAAUAUUGGACAAUGGGCGCAAGCCUGAUCCAGCCAUACCGCGUGGGUGAAGAAGGCCUUCGGGUUGUAAAACCCUUUUGUUGGGAAAGAAAAGCAGCAGGUUAAUACCCCGCUGUUCUGACGGUACCCAAAGAAUAAGCACCGGCUAACUUCGUG
RNAcentral lists this ribosomal RNA (492 nucleotides) under uncultured bacterium. Its description in RNAcentral is "partial 16S ribosomal RNA". It matches the Rfam family "Bacterial small subunit ribosomal RNA", at positions 29 to 507 of the family's 1533-position model. The record is from RNAcentral.